This 533-nucleotide ribosomal RNA is filed under the name uncultured bacterium. Its description in RNAcentral is "bacterial SSU rRNA". It matches the Rfam family "Bacterial small subunit ribosomal RNA", at positions 778 to 1312 of the family's 1533-position model. The record is from RNAcentral.
AUAGAUACCCCGGUAGUCCACGCCGUAAACGAUGUCGACUUGGAGGUUGUGCCCUUGAGGCGUGGCUUCCGGAGCUAACGCGUUAAGUCGACCGCCUGGGGAGUACGGCCGCAAGGUUAAAACUCAAAUGAAUUGACGGGGGCCCGCACAAGCGGUGGAGCAUGUGGUUUAAUUCGAUGCAACGCGAAGAACCUUACCUACUCUUGACAUCCAGAGAACUUUCCAGAGAUGGAUUGGUGCCUUCGGGAACUCUGAGACAGGUGCUGCAUGGCUGUCGUCAGCUCGUGUUGUGAAAUGUUGGGUUAAGUCCCGCAACGAGCGCAACCCUUAUCCUUUGUUGCCAGCGGUCCGGCCGGGAACUCAAAGGAGACUGCCAGUGAUAAACUGGAGGAAGGUGGGGAUGACGUCAAGUCAUCAUGGCCCUUACGAGUAGGGCUACACACGUGCUACAAUGGCGCAUACAAAGAGAAGCGACCUGCGAGAGCAAGCGGACCUCAUAAAGUGCGUCGUAGUCCGGAUUGGAGUCUGCAACG